Molecule: unclassified non-coding RNA, 297 nt
Filed under: Hevea brasiliensis (rubber tree)
Lineage: Eukaryota; Viridiplantae; Streptophyta; Magnoliopsida; Malpighiales; Euphorbiaceae
Source: RNAcentral
AGCACAAGUCUCAGAAGCAAACACAAUAGCACCAUUACUCCUCCUUCCCAUAACCAAAGGCCUAAACCCAAAAGGAUCCCUCACCGCAACUAACUUAUCCUCUGUUACAAACACCAUAGAGUAGGCUCCUUCUAACUUUUCGCAUGCAUCAACAAUCCUCAGAAAGAAAGGCCUAGCCUUGGAAAUCGCAAUCAAAUGCAAAACAACCUCAGUAUCAGAACUAGUAUUAAAAAUGGACGAACCAUUAUCCUCAAGGGCAGCCCUCAAUUUCCUAUAAUUGACUAAAUUCCCAUUGUG